CAUGCGGAUUAAUUCGAUGCAACGCGAAGAACCUUACCAAGGCUUGACAUACACCGGUAACGCCCAGAGAUGGGUGCCCCUUUGUGGUCGGUGGACAGGUGGUGCAUGGUUGUCGUCAGCUCGUGUCGUGAGAUGUUGGGUUAAGUCCCGCAACGAGCGCAACCCUCGUCCUAUGUUGCCAGCGGGUCAUGCCGGGGACUCAUGGGAGACUGCCGGGGUCAACUCGGAGGAAGGUGGGGAUGACGUCAAAUCAUCAUGCCCCUUAUGUCUUGGGCUUCACGCAUGCUACAAUGGCCGGUACAAAGGGCUGCGAUACCGCGAGGUGGAGCGAAUCCCAGAAAGCCGGUCUCAGUUCGGAUUGGGGUCUGCAACUCGACCCCAUGAAGUCGGAGUCGCUAGUAAUCGCAGAUCAGCAACGCUGCGGUGAAUACGUUCCCGGGCCUU
Molecule: ribosomal RNA, 444 nt
Filed under: uncultured Cellulomonas sp.
Lineage: Bacteria; Bacillati; Actinomycetota; Actinomycetes; Micrococcales; Cellulomonadaceae
Description: bacterial SSU rRNA
Rfam family: Bacterial small subunit ribosomal RNA
Source: RNAcentral